RNAcentral lists this ribosomal RNA (489 nucleotides) under uncultured bacterium. Its description in RNAcentral is "bacterial SSU rRNA". It matches the Rfam family "Bacterial small subunit ribosomal RNA", at positions 29 to 507 of the family's 1533-position model. The record is from RNAcentral.
AACGAACGCUGGCGGCGCGCCUAACACAUGCAAGUCGAACGAGAAUCCGGGGCAACCCGGUAGUAAAGUGGCAAACGGGUGAGGAAUACAUGGGUAACCUACCCUUGAGAAGGGAAUAACCCGCCGAAAGGUGAGCUAAUACCCUAUACGCUAUCUUUUUUUCGAAAAGGAUAGGAAAGCCGGGUCGAAGACCUGGUACUCAAGGAGGGGCUCAUGUCCUAUCAGCUUGUUGGUGGGGUAACGGCCUACCAAGGCUACGACGGGGUAGCUGGUCUGAGAGGACUGAUCAGCCACACUGGCACUGAGAUACGGGGCCAGACUCCUACGGGAGGCAGCAGUGAGGAUAUUGCGCAAUGGGCGAAAGCCUGACGCAGCGACGCCGCGUGGGGGAUGAAGGUUUUCGGAUUGGUAAACCCCUUUCAUGAGGAAAGAUAAAGUGGGUAACCACUUACGACGGUACCUCAAGAAGAAGCCACGGCUAACUUCGUG